AGUGAACGCUGGCGGUAGGCCUAACACAUGCAAGUCGAACGGCAGCACAGUAAGAGCUUGCUCUUACGGGUGGCGAGUGGCGGACGGGUGAGGAAUACAUCGGAAUCUACUUUUUCGUGGGGGAUAACGUAGGGAAACUUACGCUAAUACCGCAUACGACCUACGGGUGAAAGCAGGGGAUCUUCGGACCUUGCGCGAUUGAAUGAGCCGAUGUCGGAUUAGCUAGUUGGCGGGGUAAAGGCCCACCAAGGCGACGAUCCGUAGCUGGCCUGAGAGGAUGAUCAGCGACACUGGAACUGAGACACGGUCCAGACUCCUACGGGAGGCAGCAGUGGGGAAUAUUGGACAAUGGGCGCAAGCCUGAUCCAGCCAUACCGCGUGGGUGAAGAAGGCCUUCGGGUUGUAAAGCCCUUUUGUUGGGAAAGAAAAGCAGCAGGUUAAUACCCCGCUGUUCUGACGGUACCCAAAGAAUAAGCACCGGCUAACUUCGUG
RNAcentral lists this ribosomal RNA (492 nucleotides) under uncultured bacterium. RNAcentral's name for it is "partial 16S ribosomal RNA". It matches the Rfam family "Bacterial small subunit ribosomal RNA", at positions 29 to 507 of the family's 1533-position model. The record is from RNAcentral.